GACGUAGGGCGCAAGCGUUGUCCGGAUUUAUUGGGCGUAAAGAGCUCGUAGGCGGCUCAUCGCGUCUGCCGUGAAAACCCGCAGCUCAACUGCGGGCUUGCGGUUGAUACGGGUGGGCUGGAGUUCGGUAGGGGAGACUGGAAUUCCUGGUGUAGCGGUGAAAUGCGCAGAUAUCAGGAGGAACGCCGGUGGCGAAGGCGGGUCUCUGGGCCGAUACUGACGCUGAGGAGCGAAAGCGUGGGGAGCGAACAGG
This 253-nucleotide ribosomal RNA is filed under the name uncultured bacterium. Its description in RNAcentral is "partial 16S ribosomal RNA". It matches the Rfam family "Bacterial small subunit ribosomal RNA", at positions 524 to 776 of the family's 1533-position model. The record is from RNAcentral.